Molecule: ribosomal RNA, 406 nt
Filed under: uncultured bacterium
Lineage: Bacteria
Description: partial 16S ribosomal RNA
Rfam family: Bacterial small subunit ribosomal RNA
Source: RNAcentral
AUUGAACGCUGGCGGCAGGCUUAACACAUGCAAGUCGAACGAGUGGCGGACGGGUGAGUAAUGCUUGGGCAUCUAGCUUAUGGAGGGGUCUAACUACGGGAAACUGUAGCUAAUACCGCUUACCAUAGGAUGAGCCCAAGUGGGAUUAGGUAGUUGGUGAGGUAAAGGCUCACCAAGCCGACGAUCCCUAGCUGGUCUGAGAGGAUGACCGGCCACACUGGGACUGAGACACGGCCCAGACUCCUACGGGAGGCAGCAGUGGGGAAUAUUGCACAAUGGGCGAAAGCCUGAUGCAGCCAUGCCGCGUGAAUGAAGAAGGCCUUCGGGUUGUAAAGUACUGUCGGUAGGGAGGCGUUACCGACAGAAGAAGCACCGGCUAACUCCGUGCCAGCAGCCGCGGUAAUAC